AGAACGAACGCUGGCGGCAGGCUUAACACAUGCAAGUCGAACGCCCCGCAAGGGGAGUGGCAGACGGGUGAGUAACGCGUGGGAAUCUACCCAGAACUUCGGAACAACUGAGGGAAACUUCAGCUAAUACCGGAUACGCCCUACGGGGGAAAGAUUUAUCGGUUCUGGAUGAGCCCGCGUUGGAUUAGCUAGUUGGUGGGGUAAUGGCCUACCAAGGCGACGAUCCAUAGCUGGUCUGAGAGGAUGAUCAGCCACACUGGGACUGAGACACGGCCCAGACUCCUACGGGAGGCAGCAGUGGGGAAUAUUGGACAAUGGGCGAAAGCCUGAUCCAGCCAUGCCGCGUGAGUGAUGAAGGCCUUAGGGUUGUAAAGCUCUUUCAGUAGGGAAGAUAAUGACGGUACCUACAGAAGAACGCCCCGGCUAACCGUUCGUGCCAGCAGCCGC
Molecule: ribosomal RNA, 447 nt
Filed under: uncultured bacterium
Lineage: Bacteria
Description: SSU rRNA
Rfam family: Bacterial small subunit ribosomal RNA
Source: RNAcentral